UCCUACGGGAGGCAGCAGUGGGGAAUUUUGGACAAUGGGCGAAAGCCUGAUCCAGCAAUGCCGCGUGUGUGAAGAAGGCCUUCGGGUUGUAAAGCACUUUUGUCCGGAGAGAAAUCCUUGGCUCUAAUACAGUCGGGGGAUGACGGUACCGGAAGAAUAAGCACCGGCUAACUACGUGCCAGCAGCCGCGGUAAUACGUAGGGUGCGAGCGUUAAUCGGAAUUACUGGGCGUAAAGCGUGCGCAGGCGGUUUGCUAAGACCGAUGUGAAAUCCCCGGGCUCAACCUGGGAACUGCAUUGGUGACUGGCAGGCUAGAGUAUGGCAGAGGGGGGUAGAAUUCCACGUGUAGCAGUGAAAUGCGUAGAGAUGUGGAGGAAUACCGAUGGCGAAGGCAGCCCCCUGGGCCAAUACUGACGCUCAUGCACGAAAGCGUGGGGAGCAAACAGGAUUAGAUACCCUGGUAGUCCACGCCCUAAACGAUGUCAACUAGUUGUUGGGGAUUCAUUUCCUUAGUAACGUAGCUAACGCGUGAAGUUGACCGCCUGGGGAGUACGGUCGCAAGAUUAAAACUCAAAGGAAUUGACGGGGACCCGCACAAGCGGUGGAUGAUGUGGAUUAAUUCGAUGCAACGCGAAAAACCUUACCUACCCUUGACAUGGUCGGAAUCCCGCUGAGAGGUGGGAGUGCUCGAAAGAGAACCGGCGCACAGGUGCUGCAUGGCUGUCGUCAGCUCGUGUCGUGAGAUGUUGGGUUAAGUCCCGCAACGAGCGCAACCCUUGUCCUUAGUUGCUACGCAAGAGCACUCUAAGGAGACUGCCGGUGACAAACCGGAGGAAGGUGGGGAUGACGUCAAGUCCUCAUGGCCCUUAUGGGUAGGGCUUCACACGUCAUACAAUGGUCGGAACAGAGGGUUGCCAACCCGCGAGGGGGAGCUAAUCCCAGAAAACCGAUCGUAGUCCGGAUUGCACUCUGCAACUCGAGUGCAUGAAGCAGGAAUCGCUAGUAAUCGCGGAUCAGC
Molecule: ribosomal RNA, 1018 nt
Filed under: uncultured Burkholderia sp.
Lineage: Bacteria; Pseudomonadati; Pseudomonadota; Betaproteobacteria; Burkholderiales; Burkholderiaceae
Description: bacterial SSU rRNA
Rfam family: Bacterial small subunit ribosomal RNA
Source: RNAcentral